AUUGAACGCUGGCGGCAGGCUUAACACAUGCAAGUCGAGCGGGCGAGGUUGCUUCGGUAACUGAGCUAGCGGCGGACGGGUGAGUAAUGCUUAGGAAUCUGCCUAUUAGUGGGGGACAACAUUCCGAAAGGAAUGCUAAUACCGCAUACGCCCUACGGGGGAAAGCAGGGGAUCUUCGGACCUUGCGCUAAUAGAUGAGCCUAAGUCAGAUUAGCUAGUUGGUGGGGUAAAGGCCUACCAAGGCGACGAUCUGUAGCGGGUCUGAGAGGAUGAUCCGCCACACUGGGACUGAGACACGGCCCAGACUCCUACGGGAGGCAGCAGUGGGGAAUAUUGGACAAUGGGCGCAAGCCUGAUCCAGCCAUGCCGCGUGUGUGAAGAAGGCCUUUUGGUUGUAAAGCACUUUAAGCGAGGAGGAGGCUACCUGGAUUAAUACUCUGGGAUAGUGGACGUUACUCGCAGAAUAAGCACCGGCUAACUCUGUG
RNAcentral lists this ribosomal RNA (485 nucleotides) under uncultured bacterium. Its description in RNAcentral is "partial 16S ribosomal RNA". It matches the Rfam family "Bacterial small subunit ribosomal RNA", at positions 30 to 507 of the family's 1533-position model. The record is from RNAcentral.